UGAUAUUCAAAUUGACUAGAAUUUAAAGUUAAUUGCCUAAAUUGUAAUCCAAAAUCCUAACCCUAAUCCUCAAAACCCUCCAUCCCAAUUUAAACUAAUAACCUGCCCAGGCCCAUCUAUUCACCAACAAUUAGCCCAUACAAUUUAAAAGACAAUAGUCCUUUCCCCUUUUUAAAAGAUUCGAUCCAGAAGCCCAAAAUUCCUUUACCCAGCCCAAUCUCCCUUAUUUCUCUCCCUUCUCCUCCAAAGCAGCAAAGCUGCGUACAAACAAGAACAAAUUCUCAACCAGCCACAACAUCGGCACCAACCCAUACCCGACCCAAACUCCGCGAAUCCAUGAAACUUCAACCCGAUAAUAUUACAAAACCCACCUCCUUUCCCUUCCUCGCUUCGAUUGUACUCCUCACGUGAUUGGCAUGUGAUUUUCGUACCAUGGGAAGUCCAGGAUUCCUCUAGAAAAUAUGUAGGUGUCCGUUCCAACGGCUAGAUGUUGAGAAUUUCGGGUUGAAUGGUAAAAAAAAGUACACACUUUCCCAAUUCUCAUUGGUGGGUGAGAGAAAUUUCAUUCCUUAACCUCUAUUGGUUGGCCUAUUUUGGAUUUCAUGAAGAAAAUCCAAAAUCUGCACAUUGGUGGAUGAGGGAUCUAAGCUGUAGAAGAAAUUUGAAUUUCAAAUUCCAAAUUUUUCUUCCUAAAAUACCCCAAUACUAUCUUCUAUAUAAGAGGCGAUGGGUCACUGUUUAGAGGGGUUGAAGAUUCUAGAGUUGAAAAUUAGGGUUGGGAAAAUUUUUGGGAAAAAGGGGAAAAUUCGGGUAGCUAAGAGUACUUUCUCAUGGUAAAAAUUUACUUUCUCAUGGUAAAAAUUUCUCUUUUCUUUCUUCUUUUAAAAGCGAGUUUGAAAUUUUGGGUCUGAAAAGAGGGGAAAAAUUCUCAAAAAGGCAGAAACACAAGAAAGGAAAUUUUGGUUCAGAAAAACCGAGAGAGAAGGAAGAAAGGAAAAGAAAGAAAUUUUUGGAGAAAAAUUAAGUCUUUAGUAGAAAUCCUGUUCUUGUUUUGAAAGUUCGUCAGCUAAAUUAGAGUCUCGAGUUGACGGUAAAGAAGUUUCUUAGGGGUCGUGAUCUCCGUACCACAUCGUUGUCUCAUUUUGCUGCACUUAAAAAGGUAAAUACACUCUAUGUUCCCUUUAAUUUGACCACUGUUCUUCUUCAUCUCUUUUUCUUCGUAACUGAUGUAGUCGUAACUGUUCUUCUUCAUCUUUUUUUCUUCGUAGCUAAUGUAGUUGUAGUAGUAAUCUUGUUCUGCUAGGAGUAGCUGAUGUAGUCGUAUUCGUGAUUUUGUAUGCUAGCUUUGGCUGCUGAUGUAGGAAAUGUUUGUCAUGUGAUUACGUUUGAUGUUAAACUCCUAGUUUAGCCGCUAAAAUUUUUAGUUUUCAGUCUUAUUUGCACGUCUUAAUUUCAUAAUUUGUUAUCUGAUUUCGACAUUGCUAAUUAGCUUCCAAUUUGCUGCUUUGUAUUGUAUAUUGCUAAUGAGUUGACUUACUGAUUUCCAUCGAGGUUCCUAUUUCAAUUUCUCGCUUCACUAGCUUGCUAAAUGUUGUUUUGUUUGAAUUAUUGUCUUUCUAUUUAGUUAGUAAUAUCACUAGCAGGACUACUUUGCGAGUUCCUUUGGCUUCUCAAAUUCCAAAGAGAAUGACCAAAAUAUUUCCAAUAAUGAAAUGUACUACAAAAUUCUAGGAUCCUUCGACGGCCAUUUCGUUUGAAUGAGAAGGAGGACCAUACUGAUAUGUUGACUCGUUCAUUAUUACUGUUUGACAGUCUUAGAUCAUUAUUUUCUGUUUAAACUGGCAGCACCACCAGCUGGCCUGCCUUGAGAGUUCCUUUGGCUUUUUCAAUGCCAAAGGGAAUAAUGAGAUAUGUCCAAAAGCGCACCCAAAAUCUUAUAAUUCUCCGAUGACCAUUUUGACUGUUAAAAAACUCAUUUUUUGAGUUUGUCGGAAAGAGGAGAAGGAUAAAAUAAUACGCCCUGCCAGCUCCUUUCUUUAAAAAAGGAAAUAUCCUGGUCGGGUUCCCUCUGUUGUGGAAUUGCAAAGUUUGAGUCUUUCAUUUCCCUUUUGAUUUCGAUUUAAGACGGUAUUUUGUUUGAUUGAUCCCCGAGGAAAUGCAAUGGCUUUAUUGUAAAAGAGAAUGGAUGAGGUCUCUUUGAUGUUGAAAAUCAUUACAUGGUGUGCAUUCUCUUUGAGCUGGGUUUAUGGUUCUCUCUCUAGUUAUAAUUUUCAAGGCCUAAAACUCUUUAGAGUUUUGUAAGGCCGUUUCCAGGAAAUGCUCUUAGCAAUUAUGUAGAGACAAGGCUUUUGUGGGAGGAAAUUCUUUAGAUUUCUCUCGAAAAGAAAUUUGGAAGACGAAACGGGGUCUCAUCAUACCCGAGUUUCAUCUUCAUAGUUUCUCUGCUAAAACUCUAGGUAGGCAGGUUUUGCUUGAUUCAUUUCAAACGUUCUCUCCCUUUUUUGUUUUCGUUUCAUCAUGUCUAUCUACGCUUUAUGGUAUUAUAUUGGUUAUUUUGUUUUGUUCAUUGGAAGAAUGGUGGUGAAAUUAUUCUUGAAGCCAUAGUUACUAAGACUCUUUUGAUUAUUCAGAGAUCUGUUGCUUCUUCGCUCACUGUAGUAUAAAUAUACUAUUAACUUACAAACUUAUCUUCUUGAAAAAUUAUGAUUUUUUUUAGUUGUCUGAACAGUUCUUGGGUCAAGUUUCAUUAAUUCUUGCUUAAGUUGACGUUGUAUGUUAGUGUUUGUUUUUCCAAGCUGCUAAAUUUAGGUAAGAUAUGUUAAUAAGUUCUGUCCUUUUAAAGAAAUGGUACAGUGUGAAGCUCUUUUUUAUUUCCUCGAAAAAAGGGGUUCUUUUCUUACUCGAAGUUAUGCAUGAGUCGCUUAUGAGGUUUAUUUUAACUCCCAACUCUAGUGUACGUCUCAUUGUUUACUUGUUCUUGCUUACGGAAAUCCUCACCAAUUUAGUGUUAAAACUUUUUUUUAUUAGUUUAUAUGUUUAUUUAUGUACUGAUGACAACCAUAGUUGCAUGACUUUACCCUAUUGCGCAUGUCCUUUUUCCUUGACUUUUCUACAUCUUGACCUACUGUUUGGUAUGUUAUUUUGGAUUACAAUAGUUCUCUUUUUAUCUAUGAAUUUGUUAUGUUAUUUAUCUAUAUGGUGUUCUGCACUUUGGAUGCAUAUUAAUCUCCUUAUUUCGUUCCUUCCAUGUGAAUCCGUUUUUGAGUCCCACAUGGACUCUCUCCCUUUUCCAUAUUCAUCAUGGGUUAUUGAUGUCCACUAUCUCUAUUGAGUCAACUCCGAGAUCAAGUCCAAAAGCCGAUUAUGAGGCAUACGGAUGUAAGGAGACGAAAGGAGAAGAAUGAGUUGAAGUCCAUCUUUGAAGCGGCCAAGGGACUUGAAAGUUUUGUUUUUUCAUUUAUUUGCUCAUUUAUUUAUUUAUUUAUUUUUAUUGUUGUCUUUGUUCAUUUAUUCAUUUAUUUAUUUCACUUAUUCAUUCAUUUGGGUCUCGAAGCCAAAGUUGUAAAUUUAAUACAGGUGGAGCGGAUUUUAGGUCAAUGGGCCUGAAAGGAUAGUUUAGGACAGGUUAUGGGCCGAAAGCCUAAUUAGAUUGGGACAGGGUUUAUCGAUUUGGGCCCAAGGGUCUAAACUCUUUACUUUAUCAUCCCUUUCCCCUUUUAUAUGUUUAUUUGCUUAUUCAUUUUGUUUAGACUUAGUUAAAAUCCCUACUAAAUUGCCUAAAUUCAUUUUACACAAGUCAUUUUCCAAAAGCAACCACUUUUCAACAAAUUAAUGUUUUUACAAGUUAAUCUAAAGAUGUUUUCAAACAGUUCGGACAACCACAAGUCUCGGUCCAUAGUUUAAGACUCCGUUCCCUAUAGCCUAGUCUAUAUCCACAGCUGACGUGACUCCGUAUCGGCGCCUUUCCCUUUGUAUAGUAUACGGUUAAGUGACUUCCUAACCUCAACUUAUAACGGACGUUUUAGGUGUCUAACAUCUUCCUAAAAUAUUAAUAGGAACCGCUUAUUCAGAAUCUCUAACUUAAACGAUUUUCUUAGUUUGAAUUGUUUGAAGUAAUUCUCUAAAGGUUUCUUAAUUUCUUUUCAAAAUUAAGUGGCGACUCUUUUAAAAAUAGUCAAAAUUUCUCCGCAAAACAGAAAUGGCGACUCUGCUGGGGACUUUGAAAUUAGGUUCUAACCAAAUGUUUGAUUUUAUCUUUUGAUUAACUAUUUAUGUGUUUAUGUGUUUCAAUUCUGUAAAGUUUAAUUAUCGCAUCUCAUGGCACAUUCCUGUAUUAUUUAAACUAUUUUAGGGUUUCGUUGAUAUCCCGACCCCUGUUGUUCAAUUCCAAAAUAUGUUGGAAAUACGAACGGUUUAUUAGCACGUGAGUCGUCUGGUGGGUGUUCGUAUUUUCAAACACAAGUUGUCGGCUUGAGAACCAGUGUUCAAACACACUCUAGACCACCUAGGAUAGAAUGAAACCAAAACCCUAUUUUAGGAAUGAUCCUAGGACGACCCAAUACCCGAGCAGGGUAUUGGGUCCAUUAGAAAAGCUGCCCUCCAUCUAUUGACCCUGAGUCAAUUACAGACGAAUCAUAUUUAUGUGUUGAAAAAAAUAUAUGCUUGUCUAAUCAAUCCAUUACCCUCUGGGGAUUGGGGAAGGCUUAUCUUUGCCUGUUUUCGUGUAGGAUAUGACUCAACUGCAUUCCCUCAAAAAGUUCAAGAUAGUUAUUAAACCCAGCAAUUUUUUGAAACUAUGGUGGGAUCACAUGAGCGCAGAAGAGAGAAAGACUGUUAGAACACACAUCGGGUAUCUGCCUUCUUUGACCGAGAUGGACGCUUGGCCUAUAAUGAUCCAUGUACUAACAACUUUUUGGGAUAAUCAGAAUAUGAUAUUUCACUUCGGGGAUGUUGAAUUGACUCCAACCAUUGAAGAGGUAUUGAUUUGUUACGAGAGUACUGAAAUGUGUUUUAAGAGAAGGGAGAAACCUGAUAAGAAUAUUUUAUUCCUAGUUGUAUGGUAUUGUCAAAAGAUCAAGGAGGUAUUUUUAACUGAUGAAGACACCUGGAUAAGAGAAUGUGAUGGAGCAAAUAUCACUUUUCGUGAGUUGUAUCGUUGGUUCGGAAGAUUCAAUGCUUUUUACAAAUUUGGACAUAAAUUUGAGUCAAAAGCAAAAUGGAAGGAGACGAGAGCCUUUGCAUUCGCGGUAGGCCUACUUGGAACCAUGGUGUUCCUAUAAGGGGAAAAUGACACAAUUCAUCCAAGGGUUGUCUCAGUAACCCAUGCACUCUUCUUUGGAAUGAAGUACAAUUCUAAAAAGGUAUUCCACAACUUAGCUCCCAUGAUUAUUGCCUACAUAUAUCGAGCUUUGGGAAGAUGUCAAGUCAAGAACUAUUUCUUUCAAGGCUGCAACCUUAUAUUGCAAUGGUGGAUGAUGAUGCAUUUGGUGAAAAACCCUAGAACGGUACAACCUGAUAACAAAACAAGAUAGAAUUUGCUAGAAUCGCACGAUAUGUGGUUGUUUUUACACAAGUUCAAAAGGGAAGCAUCUCAUGAAUUUUGGUUUAAGACUCUUGGAGAAUUAAGAGGUGACGAUGUGCAAUGGUUCAUUAACUAUCUUUGUUUAAGGAAAUACACUAUUCGAGGGGGUGAGUGAUCUUUUCUAGUGAUUCCAGGUCUCAGGAGAACCCGUCCCUACAAUCCUGGUAGAGUUCUUAGGCAAUUCGAGAUCAAGAAGGAGACACCUUAAAUCGAUUCUAUGCUCAGAUUCUUCACCGAGUAUGAUGAAAGCGAGCCCCCACGCAAAGACUACAUGAUAAAUGGAUGGAGAAGAAGAAGGUGGACGGAAGUCUCUUUUCGUAUAGGGUAUGAACCUAAAGUCAGGGACACUUACAAGGAGUGGUUAAAAAAGAGCCUUGUCGGAGCGUUAAUUCCGAGGCCGAACGUUCCCACUCGGGUCGUGGAUAUAGAAUCCGAGCAUCAGAUCCGAAUCCAUAGGCUUCAAGAUGAGUUUUAGAAAAGUGAAAUCGCACACCAAAAGAUGCAUGUAGAAGAUACUUUAACAAUACGCAUGUUGAGGAAAGAGUUGAAAAGAUCUAGGCAAGAGGCUAAUGAUGCUAGGCAGUGUUUAAUCAAUUUGGAUGAUAGCAUGGUCUCCCAACUCGAUAGUAUAGAAAAAUGACUUAUGACAGCAAGGCACAGUUAUGCGAGAGUCAUCUGAUCAUCAAUAGGUAUCAAAUAGCACAAGAGGUGAACAAGGUAAAGAAGGCAAAGACAGACGAAGGAGCCUCCGGUAGCUAGUUUUUCUAUUUUCACUGCGUGGGAACUUAUCUUCUUUCAUGUUAUUUCCUUAUCUUCUUUCAUGUUAUUUCCCUUUUUCCCUAAAGAUUGUAUCCCUCUUUUGUUAUUUUUAGUAGGCAUUUAUGCCCUUUUCGUGUCUAUAUAAGUUGGGGGAUAAUGGAUUGACUUUAAGGAAGCAUAUAUUUUCUUCAAAAUCGUUAGGCUUGAACCCUUGGCUCAAAAAGGGUCACCCCGGUUAGGAUAUGCAUUAUUAUAAUGUUUUGUGUAAUAUAAUUAUCUUAUGUGCUUAUGUGUGUGUUUUUUGGAUCAAAGGCAAGUUUAUCCGCUAUGCUCCUAUGGAUGAAUUUGGCUAUGACUCAAACAACUCUACGUGGUUAUUUCUUAUCGAAUAUUUUGCAUUACUUAUCACAUACAGAAACUAACACAUCUGCCUUUGAGUUGUUUUACUUUACAGAUAAUAGAAAACUACUCCAUGUUCAAAUAAGCUGGCAGAACAUCCCUACUUCACCCAGUCAAAAGCGCAUAAAAUCCCAUCCUCUGAUCAUCAUUCAAUAGUGACUGGAAAUGACGAAGAAAACACAUUGACCAUCAGGGACAGUGUAAUAGCAGAACAUUGACCAUCAGGGACAGUGUAAUAGCAGAACAGAGUGAGAUAAUUACGGAGCUUGCAAGAAAGUUAGAAAUGCUUCAGGAGGAAAUAAAUCGUACUCGAGAUUUGGCUAACCUAGCCAUCACUGUCAAUGCUCUCACUCCAGGAGGACACGAUACUCCACUCCAAAUUCCUUCCCUCAGUACGCCUAUUCUUGGGAAUCAGCUAAAUAACGCAUCAUCCAUCUCUUCUCCUCAAAUUGUCCAAAACACCAAUCACGAAAAUAACUCAGAUGUCUACCAUCCACGAAAUCCAUCUCUAACCCCACAAAACCUAUCUCUGAAUCUAUUCCCAAAUCCCCAAAACCCAUUUGCAAAUCAAUAAAAUUUGUUCCCAAAUCCGCAAGAUUCACUCCUAAAUCCACAAAAUCCACCACUAAAUCUUCCAUCGAAUCUAUCCCCGAAUCCACCAAAUUCGUUUCCAAAUUCGCAAAAUCCUUCUCAGAUGCCACCAAACUACUCUCAAAUUCCACAAAACCUUUCUAAUUUUCAAAAUGUCAUCCCCACAUACCAACCAACUUCCUUUCAUCUGCAAAAUCAAGCCUCCCUUCUAAAUCCUCCUCAUGCCAUCAUAUCCUCUGACAUCUAUAAUCCCUUUACUAAUCCCGAGAUGGACCAUUACGAGAAGAAGGAGAAAGAGUGGAGGACCAAGCUUGAAAUGAAGUUGCUAGCUAUGAAUGAAGAGAUCACGAGGAUAAAAAAUCACAUGGAGCAAGGGACCACGACGGUUUAAGGUACGAUAGUUUAUGUGUUUACCCUGGAGUAGAUCUACCAGAAGGGUAUAACGACCCUAAAUUUGAAUGUUCAAUGGCACCGAAAAUCCAAUGACCCAUCUGAGAAGGUAUUGUCAUCAAAUAGUGGGGGUAGGGAAAAAUAAAGCAUUAUUGAUGCGUUUGUUCAGCUGGAGUUUAAGUGGCAAAGACUUGGAAUGGUUCAUGUCUCAGGAACUGAAAAAAUGGACUGGUUGGAGAGCAUUGGCCGAGGGUUUUCUUGACAGGUUCGUAUUUAACAUUGAGAUAGUCCCUGAUCGAUACUCACUAUAUCGGAUCAAACAGAAGAAUAAUAAGUGUUUUCAAGACUACGCCUUUCGUUGGAGAAAAGAAGUUGCUAAAGUACAACCUCCUAUGUUGAGGAAGAAAUGGUAUUGGUUUUCUCUCUCGCCCCGGAAGGAUAAUUUUAUACCAGGAUGGUAUCCGUGGUCCGAGAAACUUUCGCAGAUUUAGUAAAGAUUGGGGAAUCGUUAGAGGAAGGUAUCCAAACAGGAAAAAUUGCCAAAACCCCAACAUCAUCUGAAUCUUCUGUAUUCUCAAAGAAGAAAAGAGAGGAUGCGACUGCAGUCUCUACUAAUUCCAUUGAUAAGUUAAAGAGGAAAUUCAAACCUAAGAAUGUUUUUUUCUCAUCAUCGUCACUAAGUUUUCAGCCUGUAUUCUACACUCAACCCCAAUGUCAAGCUUUAAUUCCAAAUAUUUUACCCCAGUGCCAAGUUCCACAGCUAAAUUAUCAGCCUCAUACUCAAGCUACUCUUCCAAAUGACCAAAUAGAUGUCCAAAUGUCUCCAAACUAUCAUUAAGUACCUCCUUCUAAUAAUCGAAAUCAGUAUAACCACCCACGUGUAAACCUUGAAAAGAAGCCUCCUAGAAAAUUCACUCCAUUAGCUGAAAGUCGUACCCAGCUUUUCGAAAGAUUGAUGAAAGUUGGUUAUUUGCAACCGAUCCAGCCAAAGACUAUCAAUCUCAACUCCCAAUUUUAUCAAGCCGAUCAAAAUUAUGCCUAUCAUUCAGGAGUAGCGGGCCACAUUACCGAGGAUUGUAUUAACUUAAAACAUAAGAUCCAAGAUUUGAUCGAUCAGAAGGUCAUCACGCUUCAAUCGCCGACACCAAAUAUUAUUAACAGUAAUCCAUUACCUAACCAUGGGGGACCUAUGGUUAACAUGAUUGAAAUAAAGGGUGAAUGGGCAUCUAGCAAGACCAUUAUUAAGGUAAAUUCAGAAGGACUCAAAAGAACAGAAAAGGUGGAGAAGAUAGAGAAAGUUGUGGCCACCUUAAGUAAGGAUUUGGAAGGAAUUAUUAAGCCUGUUAUGGUCCCAGAAAAAGCAUUUAAUCCUACAAUAGAUUAUCAACCAAUAAAGGAAGAUGAGAUCGAAGAUAAUUCAAAGGAUAGUCUGUUUAUGCCCUUGCCGCUCUUGUACCAAUCAUUUCUCAUACAUGAGAUGUCAAAUGAUGAUGGUCUUAGGGAUGGGAUAGGAGAUCUGUUUGAAGGAUGCAAUCAUAUACCAGAUGAUUUCCCAAAGUCCGGUGGGGUGAAAAAGAUUGCACUAGGGGAGGCCUUGCAAAACUGGACCUCCACUCCACUUAUAACCCAUCACCCAUCGUGGUAGAUGAAAGGGCAAUUACUAAUAGUUUUUAAAAUUGGUGAUGAUCUAGAGGAGGCCCCGUGAUCCACCCUUUUAUGUCUCAAAUUUUUAUUUCAUGUUUUACAACUUUCAAAAAGGCAUGGGCCCACAUUUGUGUGGGUCAUGAGCUAUAGUUUUAUUUAUUUUCCAAAAGGCCUCCCUUUAUUUAAGAAGUUAUUUUUUAAAAAUAUGAUUAUCUAGCAUGGUUUAUUUUGCUAGCAAUAAGUUAAAAACCUGCCAAUGUCAUGUCAUGUCAAGGGUUAGACGAACAAAGCAAAGAAAAUAAUGAUGAACAGAAAAAGGUGAUGAGGAAUAAUUAGUUAAAGGUAUAGAAGAAUGUGAAAAUCAAAAGAAGCCCAACCUGGAGAAGCCCUAAUCCUACCGGAGAUGGAUGGUUAAGAGUGGACUAAACCAAUCAAUUCUGAUGCACUAAAGAGAAUUGUGCUUGAAAGAUGUUAUAAUUUUUGUGUUUCCUUAGUUUACUUGUAAUCGCCUUUGUAAUAAUGUUGUUUUCUAGUGUGUAAUUGCCUAGAACCCCUUUCAUUUUAUGUACGAACUACAUUUGACUGGAAUUCCCAACAAAGGGAUACGUAGGCGGCCUAUGUCGGCUUCGAUCAACCCCUUACAAGAAUUUAUCCUUUUUUUUAUGUAUGAACUACGUGAUGACCUGAAUUCCCAGCAAAAGGGGUACGUAGGCAGCCUAUGUCUUCUUCGGUCAACCCAUUAGAUUUUUCUAUAUAUCCUUAGCAUAGUCCUGAACUACGUUUGACCUGAUUCCUGCUUCAACGGAAUAUGUAGGCGCAACCCUAGGAAAUGGAAACUGGGGCAGAAUUUUUGAGAAGGAAUCUUAAAAAUUCACAAGAGAGGAUCAACGUCCAUCAAAGAGAAUGAAGAUCAACAAAGACUUCAGAUCCACUCGAGAUGAGAUCAUCUUAGACUACUUUAAACUGGGGCAGAAAUUUGGAGGGAGGCCUUAAAAUUUUCACGAAGUACUGGAAUAUAUUUCAAAUUCCCCGACACCAGAGGUUAAAGCCAAGAUUUUGAAGCCACCAACUGCGACAAAGUCUAGGUAGAAUCAAUUUCUGGCUAUGACAGAACUAUUUGAAGAACCCUCCGACAAUGAUCAUGAGUUCUGGAAGUCAUCUGUCGGAUAUAGUCAAAGCCACGAGGAAGACGUUCGUUUAGAGAGUACACGACAUGGCUGACAGAGAUUUUCUAAAGCUUUUACAGAUACUUUCAAAACUAUUUGCUAAAAAAUAAGACUACUUUUGAAAAACAAAUCCUUACAAAUCUUUUACUUAGUGAUUACCUAGGCGGCUAUAGGAGCAGGGACCCAAGGUGGAGGUACCAAUGUAACCGGGCACCUGAAAGAUGGCAAGGAGAAAAUCAAGGAUCGAAGAAGGUUGACACUGAGUAGUUUUAUUCAAACUAAUCAUUUCUCUGUGGAUGCAGGGAUCGAUACACAAAAAUGAGCAUUUCUUUCAAAAAAUCCCCAAGCAAGUCGGGAGCCAUACCAGAGCAUAUAGUGCUUAGGAACGGUACUUUUGGUAACCUAAAAGCGGGCUCAACACCCAUUUAUCGAUGACCUUUUGAAUUUUCCAUCUCAUUUCUUGAAAUCAUGGAAGACAAACAAAGACGUCUUCUUUUCUUUACAAACAUUGUAUUUAGAAUUUUUCUCAAAAAAUGGUCGCUAGCAAAAAUGACUUUGUUUAUACUAAUUGUCUAUCUUGAGUACAGGUACAUGUAGAAAGCAAGACGCAGACAAACGAAAUCAGAUAAAACUAUUUUCAAAUCUCCAAGAUGGCCAUUCAUAUCAUUGCCAAGAGGGUCAUUGCAUAUCAUUGCCAAGAGAGCCAUUGCAUAUAAUUGCUAAGAGGGCAAUUUCAUAUCAUUACUAAGAAUGCCAUUUCAUAUUAUUGUCAAGAGGGUCAUUUAUAUUAUUUUCAAGAGGGUCAUUUCAUAUCAUUUUCGAGAGGGUUAUUUUAUAUCAUUGCCAAGAAGGCCAUUUCAUAUCAUUGCCAAGAAGGCCAUUUCAUAUCAUUGCCAAGAGGGCCAUUACAUAUCAUUGCCAAGAGAGCCAUUUCAUAUUAUUUCCAAGAGGGUCAUUUCAUAUUAUUGCCAAGAGGGCCAUUCAUAUCAUUGCCAAGAGGGCGAUUGCAUAUCAUUGCCAAGAGGGUCAUUUCAUAUAAUUGCCAAGAGGGUCAUUUCAUAUCAUUGCCAAGAGAGCCAUUGCCAAGAGGGCUAUUCAUAUCAUUGCCAAGAGGGCCAUUCAUAUCAUUGCCGAGAGGGCCAUUCAUAUUAUUUCCAAGAGGGCCAUUCAAUAUCUGUUGACACGUAAGACAUAAAAUGCUAGCGUCGAGGAUAUCAUCAGUAUUUUAUAUCUGUUGACAUGCAAGACAUAAAUGCUGGCGUCGAGGAUAUCAUCAUUAUUUAAUAUCUGUAAACACGCUAGAAAUAAACACUGGAGUCAAGGAUAUCUCAUCUUUUAUGAAUCAGCAUCUGAAUGUAUUGAGAGAACAUGAUUUGAAAGGACACCUUUAAGUCGCUAUCUGAAGACGAGCGAUUUACAGGAUUUCCUAGAAAUUGAUAAUUUGAGGGUCAUUUAUAAGUCAUAUUAUUUGAAAUAGGAUAGUGUGUAAGAUCACCUAUGAAUUGAUAGCUUGUAGGUUAUCCGUAAGCCACAAUAACAUCCUAAUCGGAUAGUGUGCAAGGUCACCCAAAAAUCUAUAGUUCAAAGGUUAUCCGUAAGUCGCAACUAAAUCCUUACCGGAGAAUAUGCAAGAGUAUCAAAUUGAUAAUGUCCAAGGGUUAUCUAUAAGCUGUGUCAUAUCCAAGAUCGAUUAUGUGCAGGAUUACCCAAAGACUUGCAAUUUGAGACAUAUCUGUAAGUCAUAUUAUAUCCAAGGUCGGAUGAUGUGCAGGAAUACCAGAGAGCUAAUGAUUGGAGGGAUAUCUGUAAGUCAUCUCUUAUCCAAGGUCGGAUAAUAUGCAGGAUUACCUAAAGGCUAGCAAUUCAAAGGAUAUCUGUAAGUCACCUUGUAUCCAACAUCAAAUAAUAUGCAAGAUUAUCCAAAGAUGGUCAAUUCAAGGGAAAGCUAUAAGUCGUAUCGAUACAAAGAUGCGCAAGACUUACCCAAGAUCAUAGGAAAAGAAUUAUUGUCAAUGAUCGAAAAGGUUAUCAUUACACAUGUGACAAGCAUUACAGGUAACCAAAGGGGUUGGCGGAUCAGCAUAAGACUAAACGGUUGCAGGGACCGUUCUGCAUAAAGGGUCAUUGGUGUCCAAAAGGUCACUCCACUUUGAAGACAUAUUCAUUCGAACAAAUGAGUUAGUUAUGCAACAACCAAAAGGGUGUUACUACUGUUAUCAUAAGUUAUUUCAUUCCAAAUAGGUACAUGAAAAGAUGACUCCGCUUUUCAGGCAAUAACCUAUAUGAAAAUAUGGUAAAAUACUAUACACUUCUUUCGUGAAUUAUGCUUAUGACUAAGGAUUUUGUUUGAGAUAUUGUCGAGAGAAUCCAAGAGGAUAAAAAUCUCAAAUCAAAACCAUAGGUGCGAAUGACUUCAGAUAGAAUACAGCACAAUAUGAAACUCUUUCUCAGCAGCAAAAUGGGACAUAGUCUAGAGAGGGAUGUCAAACUCUUUACACGCGAGCUAAAGGAUGAUCACCACCACCAUAUAACCACACCCCUAUUAGAAGGCAUGUGGGUAUUCUGGGAUAUUCUUGUUUCAACUUCACCUUCAGGAUAUUUCUAAACUUACAUCGAGGGUAGUCUUCCCUUCCUUCAAAUCCGGGUGAUAACAUAUCUAGAGUUUUGGAAAUUAUGUCCAGGUAAGUUCUUUUCUAUGGAUGUGAAAGAUUCCACAUUCAUGGUUAAUAGGUUACAAUCCUCUUUUCCAUAACUUAAUCAUUAACUUGUCACUCAUCCCGAGCUGAAGAUCGUUUAAAAUAAAAGACUAUUUUUUCUACCUAUCGAGUCGAACUACAAACAAUCUGAUUCCCUAAAAUCUUGGGGAUAUGUAGGCCAAGAUCUAUGUAGAAAACUCGACUGCAUUCCAACCUCCUCCAAAUCCCUUUAUUCUCCAGCUUCUCGGUUUAACUAAAAACUCUAAAAUCGUGAUAGUUGGUGAAUUUUCUUGAAAAUCAUGCUUAAAAUCAAGCUUUAUGAACUACAAAUGGCCUGAAUUCUCAUGAAACUUGAGAUAUGUAGGAAACCUGAUAUCGAGGUUCGGCCAUAGCUCCAUGAAACUCGUGCGGAAAAUCAGCCUCUUUCAAAUUCGAAUUUGUGGUCGGACAAAAAUUAGGAAUGUCAACCUCCCUUUGCCCAGAGUUACUUGCAUCCACCCUAUCCAAAGGGAGGAGGCAGUUGUUGACACCUAUUUUUUUCCCUCCACGGCUAAAUUUGAUAUUGAGUUUCUUCGACUACAAAUAUAAUUACAAUAUUUAUUUUAUCCGAAUAAAGGAUUUUUAAAGUAUUUACUUGGAUAAAUUUUUCUCUCAAAAAUAAUUUAUUUGGAUAAAUGUUUGUUUAAUUUUACCAAAUCAAGAAGCUCAAGAUUAAAUAAGGCACUAAUUUGUAUUGAAUUUUGAUUUGAUUUAGUCAAUUUAUUAAAUUUGACUCUAAUUAAAAUCAAAUUAGCCCCAAUUGUGAUGCAAUUGACCAAUUGGUAUUCAAAUUGGCUAGAAUUUAAAGUUAAUUGCCUAAAUUGUAAUCCAAAAUCCUAACCCUAAUCCUCAAAACACUCCAUCCCAAUUUAAACCAAUAACUUGCCCAGGCCCAUCUAUUCACCAAUAAUUAACCCAUACAAUUUAAAAUACAACAGUCCUUUCCUUCUUUUUAAAAGAUUCGAUCCAGAAGCCCAAAAUUCCUUUAUCCGGCCCAAUCUCCCUUAUUUCUCCCCCCUUCUCCUCCAAAGCAGCAAAGCUGCGUAUAAAUAAGAAUAAAUUCUCAACCAGCCACAACAUCGGCAACAACCCAUACCCAAUCCGAACUUCACAAAUCCAUGAAACUUUAACUCGAUAAUCUUGCAAAACACACCUCAUUUCCCUUCCUCUCUUCGAUUGUACUCCUCACGUGAUUGGCAUACAGUUUUUGUACCAUGGGAAGUCCAGGAUUCCUUUAGAAAAUGUGUAGGUAUCCGUUCCAAUGGCUAGAUGCCGAGAAUUUUGGGUUGAAUGGUACAAAAUCAUACAUACUUGCCCGAUUCUCAUUGGUGGGUGAGAGAAAUUUCAUCCCUUAAUCUCUAUUGGUUGGCCUAUUUUGGAUUUCAUGAAGAAAAUCCAAAAUCUGCACAUUAGUGGAUGAGGGAUCUAAGUUGUAGAAGAAAUUCAAAUUCCAAAUUUUUUCUUCCUAAAAUACCCAAAUACUAUUUUCUAUAUAAGAGGCGAUGGGACACUGUUUAGGGGGAUUGUAGAUUCUAGAGUUGAAAAUUAGGGUUGGAAUAAUUUUCGGGAAAAAGGAGAAAAUCCGGGUAGCUAAGAGUUCUUUCUCAUGGUAAAAAUUUCUCUUUUCUUUCUUCUUUUGAAAGUGAGUUCAAAAUUUUGGGUCUGAAAAGAGGGAAAAAAUUCUCAAAAAGGCAGAAACACAAGGAAAUUUCGGUUUAGAAAAACUGAGAGAGAAGGAAGAAAGGAAAAAAAAGAAAUUUUUGGAGAAAAAUUAAGUCUUUAUUAGAAAUCCUGUUCUUGUUUUGAAAGUUCGUCAGCUAAAUUAGAGUCUCGAGUUGAUGGUAAGGAAGUUUUUCGGUGGUCGUGAUCUCUAUACCGCAUCGUCGUCUCAUUUUACUGCACUCAAAAAGGUAAAUACACUCUAUGUUCCCUUUAAUUUGACCGCUGUUCUUCUUCAUCUCUUUUUCUUCGUAGCUGAUGUAGUCAUAGCUGUUCUUCUUCAUUUCUUUUUCUUCGUAGCUAAUGUAGUUGUAGUAGUAAUCUUGUUCUGCUGGGAGUAGCUGAUGUAGUCAUAUUCGUGAUUUUGUAUGCUGGGUUUGGCUGCUGAUGUACGAAAUGUUUGUCAUGUGAUUAUGUUUGAUGUUAAACUCCUAGUUUAGUAGCUAAAAUUUUUAGUUUUCAGUCUUAUUUGCACGUCUCAAUUUCAUAAUUUGUUAUCUGAUUUCGACAUCGCUAAUUAGCUUCCGAUUUGCUGCUUCGUAUUGUAUAUUGCUUAUAAGUUGAACUUAUUGAUUUCCAUCGAGGUUCCUAUUUUAAUUUCUCGCUUCACUGGCUUGCUGAAUGUUGUUUUGUUUGAAUUAUUGUCUUUCUAUUUAGCUAGUAAUAUCACUAGCAGGACUACUUUACGAGUUCCUUUGGCUUCUCAAAUGCCAAAGAGAAUGACCAAAAUAUUUCCAAUAAUGAAAUGUACUACAAAAUCCUAGGGUCCUCAAUGACCAUUUCGUUUGAAUGAGGAGGAGGACCAUACUGAUAUGUUGACUCGUUCAUUGUUACUAUUUGACAGUCUUAGAUCAUUGUUUUCUAUUUAAACCGGUAACACCACCAGCUGGACUGCCUUGAGAGUUCCUCUGACUUUUUCAAUGCCAAAGGGAAUAAUGAGAUAUGCCCAAUAGCGUACCCAAAAUCUUAUAAUUCUUUGAUGACUAUUUUGACUGUUAAAGAACUCAUUUUUUGAGUUUGUCAAAAAGAGGAGAAGGAUAAAAUAGUAUGCCCUGCCAGCUCCUUUUUUUAAAAAAGGAAACAUCCUUGUAAGGUUCCCUCUGUUGUGGAAUUGCAAAGUUUGAGUCUUUCAUUUCUCUUUUGAUUUCGUUUUAAGACGAUGUUCCCAAGGAAAUGCAAUGGCUUUAUUGUAAAAGAGAAUGUAUAAGGUCUCUUUGAUGUUGAAAAUCAUUACAUUGUGUGCAUUCUCUUUGAAAUAGGUUUGUGGUUCUCUCUCUAGUUAUAAUUUUCAAGGCCUAAAACUCUUUAGAGUUUUGUAAGGCCGUUUUCAGGAAAUGCUCUUAGCAAUUAUGUAGAGACAAGGCUUUUGUGGGAGGAAAUUCUUUAGAUUUCUCUCGAAAAGAAAUUUGGAAGACGAAAUGGGGUCUCAUCAUACCCGAUUUUCAUCUUCAUAGUUUCUCUGCCAAAAAUCUAAGUAGGCAGGUUUUGCUUGAUUCAUUUCAAACGUUCUCUCCCUUUUUUGUUUUCGUUUCAUCUUGUCUGUCUACGCUUUAUGGUAUUAUAUUGGUUAUUUUGUUUUGUUCAUUGGAAGAAUGGUGGUGAAAUUAUUCUUGAAGCCAUAGUUACUAAGCCUCUUUUGAUUGUUCAUAGAUCUGUUGCUUCUUCUCUCACUUGUAGUAUAAAUAUACUAUUAACUUACAAACUUAUCUUCUUGAAAAGUUGUGAUUUUUUUAGUUGUUUGAAUAGUUCUUGGGUCAAGUUUCUUUAAUUCUUGCUUAAGUUGACGUUGUAUGUUAGUGUUUGUUUUUCCAAGCUACUAAAUUUAGGUAAGAUAUGUUAAUAAGUUCUGUCCUUUUAAAGAAAUGGUACAGUGUGGAACUCUAUUUUAUUUCCUCGAAAAGAGGGGUUCUUUUCUUACAUGACGUUAUGCAUGAGUCACUUAUGAGGUUUAUUUUAACUCCCAACUCUAGUGUAUGUCUCAUUGUUUACUUGUUCUUGCUUACGGAAAUCCUCACCAAUUUAGUGUUAAAACUUUUUUUUAUUAGUUUAUAUGUUUAUUUAUGUACUGAUGACAACCAUAGUUGCAUAACUUUACUCUAUUGAGCAUGCCCUUUUUCCUUGAUUUUUCUACAUCUUGACCUACUGUUUGGUAUGUUAUUUUGGAUUACAAUAGUUCUCUUUUUAUCUAUGAAUUUGUUAUGUUAUUUAUCUAUAUGGUGUUCUGCACUUUGGAUGCAUAUUAAUCUCCUUAUUUCGUUCCUUGCAUGUGAAUCCGUUUUUGAGUCAUACAUGGACUCUCUCCCUUUUACAUAUUCAUCAUGGGUUAUUGAUGCCCACUAUCUCUAUCUAGUCAACUCUGAGACCAAGUCCAAAAGCCGAUUAUGAGGUGUACGGAUGUAAGGAGACAAAAGGAGAAGAAUGAGUUGAAGUCCAUCUUUGAAGCGGCCAAGGGACUUGAAAGUCUCAUUUUUUCAUUUAUUUGUUCAUUUAUUUAUUUAUGCAUUUUUAUUGUUGUCUUUGUUCGUUUAUUCAUUUUUUUAUUUCGCUUAUUCAUUCAUUUGGGUCUCGAAGCCAAAUUUGUAAAUUUAAUACAGGUGGAGCGGAUUUUGGGCCAACGGGCCUGAAAGAAUAGUUUAGGACAAGUUAUGGGCCGAAAGCCUUACUAGAUUGGGACAUGGUUUAUCGAUUUGGGACCAAGGGUCUAAACUCUUUACUUUCUCAUCCUUUUCCCCUUUUAUGUGUUUAUUUGCUUAUUCAUUUUGUUUAGACUUAGUUAAAAUCCCUACUAAAUCGCCUAAAUCCAUUUUACACAAGUCAUUUUCCAAAAGCAACCACUUUUCAACAAAUUAAUCUUUUUACAAGUUAAUCAAAAGAUUUUUUCAAACAGUUCGGAUAACUGCAAGUUAGCGAACGUUUUAGGUGCCUAACACCUUCCUAAAAUGUUUAUAGAAACCGCUUAUUCAGAAUCUCUAACUUAAACAAUUUUCCUGUUUUGAAUCGUUUGAAGUAAUUCUCUAAAAGUUUCUUAAUUCCUUUUCAAAAUUAAGUGGUGACUCUUUUCAAAAAAGUCAAAAUUUCUCCGUAAAAUAAUAGUUUGGGGGUAUAUUUGUUUCUUUUUUAUUUUUAUUUUUUAUUUUAAAUUAUUAAUCCAAACCCUCUAAUAAACGCGUUAUUAUCAUCUCUAUAACGAUAUAUACACACAACACAGUAACAAUUACUACUAUCAAUUUAAAAAAGAAUUCAUUAACCGGUAACACCCAAAAACAACACCAAAUAAAUUGAACCCCUCACGUUUCAAUUUUCAGCGAAAUUCUAUCGGAAAAAUACUACCCACCAUCGGUCAACACCACAUAGGCACCCUUUCUGUCGAAUCGAAAACACCCCACUGGCGAACCAUCGUCACGGCCCUUGCUCCGGCCACCUCCGGCCUAAUCUCCACUUCCUCCAACCAGUAAACACCAACUAGCAGCAACGAUCAAUUCCUGCAAUUUGAUGAGAUUCACGUUUAAGAGAAAAAUAGAGAGAGUAUCAAAUUUGAAAUAAAAAAUAAAGGUCGGAUUGAGUUGGUAUGAAAUUAGAUUGGAUGGGUUUAUUGGCUCAGAAAGUGGAUUAGGUUUAAUUAUUAGGGAUUAAAAAUUAAAACAAAAAAAGAACAAAUAUACCCCCGAACUAUGAUAAAUUAUAUGUAUAUACCCUUUGUUAUACUUUAAGGUACACUUAUGCCCCUACCGUUAGUGUGAGGGGCAUAUAUGUACCAUUUCAUUAAGAGUAGGGGGCAUAUGUGUACUCCAAAUAUGAUGGAGGGUAUAUAUGUAUCAUUUAUCAUAGUUCGAGGAUACAUUUAUCCUUUUUCGUAAAAUUAGUUAGCUAAAGAAGACGUUAGUAUUUAUUUUAUAU
Molecule: long non-coding RNA, 18881 nt
Filed under: Capsicum annuum
Lineage: Eukaryota; Viridiplantae; Streptophyta; Magnoliopsida; Solanales; Solanaceae
Description: long non-coding RNA (CANN_LNC005026)
Source: RNAcentral